Myotis myotis is the source of this 1617-nucleotide long non-coding RNA. RefSeq lists it as uncharacterized. The transcript has 2 exons. NCBI's taxonomy places the organism in Eukaryota, Metazoa, Chordata, Mammalia, Chiroptera, Vespertilionidae. The record is from RefSeq and is a predicted model, not a curated record.
CCAGUCGGGGAAGGAGCCGCUCGUGGACCCGUAACCCAGAGGAGCUCGAUCGCGCCGUCGGCUCAGCGGGGCUUCCAAGAGGAGACCUGGGUCUGGGACUCGGGGCGGACGGGAAGCGAACCCAGUGCUGCAGGGACCCUACCUCCCGCCAUGAGGACACUAGGGACGUUCAUUUUCCGAGUCAAACGAGUACGUCCCCACCGUUCAGUCCUCCUCCACUGACUUCCGGUUCCUGUGUGCAUCCCCCAAAAGAGCCCGGCCUUUCCGCAGAACGAUUCUGGCCGCAGCGGCGUUCCGGGCCCGCCCAGGUGUGGAGCCCGGAGCGGUGGGGGGGCCGCGGCUGGGCUGCGCCGCGAGGUGAGUGCCCGGAGGAGCUCCGCGCCGCGAUCCCGAGCCCUGGGUGGUCCGCAGACUUACUCCACUGCCUCCGGGAACGUGGAGGGGAGGAAGGAAGCGGAAUUAAAAAAAGAAAAAAAAAGAAGAAGAUGAGUGCCAUGUGAAGAUGGAGCCAAAAAUUGAAGUGAUGCACAUACAAACCACGGAAGGCCAAGGAUAGCCAGCACAAGCUGGGAGAGAGGCGUGGAACGGAUUCACUCUCAGAAGGAACCGACCCUGCCAACACCUGUACUUCAGACUUCCAGCCUCCAGAGCUGUGAGAGAAUAAAUUUCUGUUGUUUUAAGCCACCAGGUUUGUGGUAAUUUGUUACAGCAGCCACGGGAGACAAAUGCCUGAGGCCAGAAGGAGCCUGGUGAUGGAUGCUUUCAGAGGCGAUGUGGUCCGCUCUCAGGGUGCAACAAGUCACUUGCUACCUGCACAACCUGAGAUUCUCAUCCUCUCCGAGCCUCAGCUUCCUCAUUUGUGAAAUGGACGUAGUGGUAUCUGCCUCUCAUUUCUACUAAGAGGAUGUCUAGUUAGAAACUGGAUGUAGAGAACAUGACUUAUAAUAAGGGUUCAAUAAAUGUUAGUUCCUCAUUAAAGCAUUAUCUCUUCUGGGGAGCCAAUUAUUAUUUUUAAAUAUAUAUUUUUAUUGAUUUCAGAGAGGAAGGGGAAGGGAGAGAGAUAGAAACAUCAAAGAUGAGAGAAGCAUUGAUCAGCGGCCUCCUGCACGCCCCCGGCUGGGGUUUAAGCCUGCAACCCGAGCAUGUGCCCUUGACCGGAAUUGAACCCAGAGGAGCCCAGUGAUUUGCUUCAGCCUGUAGGCUAGCGCUCUGUCCACUGAGCUAAACCAGCUAGGGCUGGGGAGCCAAUUAUUAAUGAGCUUGCGGGGAAACCCUCGCUCCCUGGAGCAUUCAUUCAGAAUUACUUUGACCAGAGGCUGGAAGUGGUAGGGAAAGAGGCAACCACUGUGCCUGACUUACUGUAAACCAGAAUCUGUGUUCAAAAUGAAAGUCGUCAUCUUCCCCAGAAACCAGCUCCUUCUCACUUCCCUGGUUUUGUUGCUCACAUGCAUACGCCCCUGCUCCUCCCACUCCUUUUGUCAUUAUGUCUAGCUUGUCAUCUACUUACUGUGUUUUUUAAAGGUUUUUGACCAUAGUGUACAUGGGAAACAACUGCUUUAUUAAACUUGGGUUUACACAUAUGAUGCACUUUGAUAUUUUCUAUUUCGUGAUUUUUUU